AAAACCAAUUCAUUGAUUACGAUUUCUUAUUGUAAGAGAAAAAGAAAAUUUUAAUCAUUAAAAUGGCGAAUGAAUUGACGUACGCAAACCUAAAUGGGUAUGUGGCUAUCAAUAGUUUGUAAGAAAACUCACAAAUAGAAGAAUGAAUGAAUCAUUUAUCCACAAUUUGCAUAGCCAUGGAUAGACCAAGAUUUAUCGCAUCUAAGACAGAGACCAGACACGGUGCCUGCAGAGAUGAUGAGAUACACGUGGCAAGCAAAAUACCAUGGCAAAGGGGCGUUUGUCACACAGCAUUGAGUGACCUUAGUGGUGUUGUCAACUAGUUGAGACAAGAUUGGGAAGCACAAAGGACAAUUUUUGCUGUUGAUGAGGAAAAAUUAGAAGUUUCUAUUUGUCCUAGCAAACACACAACACAACUAAGGACCCCAUAUAUGGGUUCCUCAUUUAUAAGGACUCACUGUAAUUGGAAACGUUGCAUGAGUCUUAUGGGUGGGACCCCAACCCUAAUUUUGUGCUAAUAAAGUGGGCAAUCGUACAAUUGCUCGAGGCUAUAUAGCUACUCAUCAUUAUCACCCAAAGCUUUCACUAUUAUUAUAAUAAUAAAACAAUUGUUUUUAUGACAAAUUUACCCAUGAAGGGCGUGGUUUAUCUUGAGCAAAAAGUUUCCAUUGAUU
Molecule: unclassified non-coding RNA, 674 nt
Filed under: Hevea brasiliensis (rubber tree)
Lineage: Eukaryota; Viridiplantae; Streptophyta; Magnoliopsida; Malpighiales; Euphorbiaceae
Source: RNAcentral